AACGUAGGAGGCAAGCGUUAUCCGGAGUAACUGGGCGUAAAGGGCGGGUAGGUGGUUGUGUAAGUUGGUUAUGAAAGCUCCUGGCUAAACUGGGAGAGGUUGACCAAGACUGCAGAACUUGAGUGGAGAAGAGGUAAACGGAAUUCCGCGUGUAGUGGUGAAAUGCGUAGAGAUGCGGAAGAACACCAGUGGCGAAGGCGGCUUACUGGACGAUUGUUGACGCUGAGGUGCGAAAGCGUGGGGAGCAAACAGG
This 253-nucleotide ribosomal RNA is filed under the name uncultured bacterium. Its description in RNAcentral is "partial 16S ribosomal RNA". It matches the Rfam family "Bacterial small subunit ribosomal RNA", at positions 524 to 776 of the family's 1533-position model. The record is from RNAcentral.